This 1527-nucleotide long non-coding RNA is filed under the name Homo sapiens (human). Its description in RNAcentral is "HSALNT0234688". The record is from RNAcentral. Lineage: Eukaryota; Metazoa; Chordata; Mammalia; Primates; Hominidae.
AAUUUGCCAGACAUGGUGGUGCAAGCCAGUGGUUUCAGCUACUUGGGAGACUGAGGUGGGAGGGUUGCUUGAGCCUGGGAGGUCAAGGUUGCAGUGAGCCGAGAUUGCGCCACUGCACUCCAGCCUGGGUGACAGAGCAAGACCCUGUCUCCAAAAAAAAAAAAAAAAAUGUGUAUAGUUUUCGUACUCACAUAUUUACACACUGGCCAGGCAAACAGUGCGCCUGCAGGAGACCCCCUGGGUCUUUCCCUUCCUUUGUACCGCUGUCUCGCUCUCCCUUCCUCACCCUCUUUCUUCUACAAAUAUUUAUCAGAGUCCUUCGGGGGCUAAGGCAUGCUGGCCCACACACUGUCAGGAUCACAAAAAAGCUAAAUAUAAAUAUGCCUCCCAGAGCUUCGGAUAUCAGAACCCAAGUUAGCUGGGACCCAAAGUCUCUGGAAGGCUAGAAAGUUAAUACGGGACGACGUCUCUUGGGACAAGGCAGGUUUUAUCUGUUAAAGAAGAAACUUCUGGCUUGUGUGAGUCACUCAGGCUGCCUGGACUCCUGGGUCUCCCCCUGGAGGGUUGCAUGGUGGGACUUCAUGCAUGAAAAACAGAUUUCACGAUUUCACUAAAAUUGGUUCGAGGCAUCCUGUGUGUCCGGCCCUGGUCUGGUGAUGGUUUCCAGGGCGCAGGAGAAGGUGUGUGGGUCAGCAGGGUUCUCUGGGAAAGAAGACGGGAAGAUGGCCUUCAGAUUUGGCAGCCAUGGGCCACCUGACUCUUCACAUUGAGCCUUGGAGCUGGCCAGCUAGAGGGCAGUUGGGGAGAACACUCCAGGUCACAAGAGAAGGCCGAGCUGGGAGGGAGGGUCUCUAAGGUGUAGCAGCUGGAACAAGAACGGGCGGAGCAGCUUCGUUCAAGAUCAGAGACCGGCCAGGUGCCCACCGACGGGAGAAUGGAUGAACACGCCGUGGCGUUUUGUGCAGUGGAAUGUCACUCUGUAGCAGAAAGGGACAAAUGACAGCGUGGGUGAGGCUCAGCAAGGCUGUGCUGAGUGGAAGAAGCCCUGCCCAGACGGGCACCCCCGGUGCAAUUCCGUGUCUGUCACGUCCCAGCACCGGCAGAUCCACCCAGUGGUGGCAAGAGCCCAGACGAACGGUGGUCGCUGUUGUGCAUGGGCAGGACUGAGCAGGAAAUGGCAGGAAGCAGGAAGGGCUUCGGGGAUGUGGUAACAUGUACUUUGAUACGGGUUUGGGUUACACAGGUCUAUGCGUUUGCCCAAACUCAGCAAAUAUUUAAGCAACUGUAAACAAAUGUUGGCCAUGAGCUAGCAAUAUGCACACUAAGAUAUUAAAUAGAGGACGGUGCUGGAGUCUGCAGUCUGCUCUGUCGUUUGUCCAAAAGCCAAGGUGGAUGGAUGGUUGGGUGAGGGAGGAUUGACGGGCGGCUGCCUGACCAGGCAGGGAGAGCCAGUGUCCAUGCGGCCUCCGGGUAGUGAGGACGCGAGCUGCACUGUGAGAUCCUCUCUGCCUUGUUGUGUGUUUGAAA